RNAcentral lists this long non-coding RNA (871 nucleotides) under Androctonus crassicauda. The record is from RNAcentral. Lineage: Eukaryota; Metazoa; Arthropoda; Arachnida; Scorpiones; Buthidae.
CUUAAAUGUUAUUUCUACAGAUCAAGGUCCUCCAUCUCCAUGAUUUAAUAAAGAAAAUAAAUACAGUUAUCAAUUUCAGUUGGAGAGAACCGAGUGGCAUGCAGGUGAUAGAAAGAGGAGAAGUAUGGUAUGUAACGAGGGAAAAUGAAAAAGGGAGAAAAAGCAAGUUGUUAGUAAGAAGACAGCAAUUAAUCAAGGAGUCGCUCUCUAGUCUCCAAGAGGACAAGAUGUGGCUGAGAGCCACUCCAGAGGUCGAUUGUUCGCUAGGCUUCCAACAAGUAAGUCGCUAAUUUUGAGAGAGUGUUGCAAAUACAAGAUAGUCGGUCUAGUUCUUCCAACUCAGUCGGAUGCAAACCUCCAAAAGAAAAGAUCAUUCUCCAGACAUCAAAAGGUCGGCUGCAAGAUCACUGACGCGAAGAACAAGAUGUGGCCCAAUCAAAUCCCAUCCUCGAUAGAAGAAAUUAUAUUAAAUCAGUGACAGACAAACCGUAUUGAAACUGCACCUGGGCAUUUGGUUUUUGACCAAUAAGUCAUUGAUAGAAGAAAUAGCAAAAGUGUGGUGUUGGACUAAAGACUGAUCCAUUGAACUUAAAGACUGUGCACAUAUACAUAUUUGAUUUACUGCUGAGGGAAAAUUAUUCAUAUCUCAAUGUUAUACAUAUAUAAGAUAUUUAUCCUCUGAUGGUGUAUUGUAAGAAAACAAAUUCAUCUCUCUCAAAAAAGAUCUAAGGUUUGCCAAAAGCUGUAUAGUGUCUGUCCCUCUCCUUCCCGUUGUGUUGGUCUGCUCCUCACUUCACCAUUCUUACCAUAUGUGCCAAACCACAUAAUAGCAGUAUGCUAACACCUGUUCUACCUGAUGUAGAACAGGUAU